AGGGGGCUAGCGUUGUUCGGAAUUACUGGGCGUAAAGCGUGCGCAGGCGGCUUCUCAAGUCAGGGGUGAAAGCCCAGAGCUUAACUCUGGAAUUGCCUUUGAGACUGAGGAUCUUGAGUUCGGGAGAGGUGAGUGGAACUGCGAGUGUAGAGGUGAAAUUCGUAGAUAUUCGCAAGAACACCAGUGGCGAAGGCGGCUCACUGGCCCGAUACUGACGCUGAGGCACGAAAGCGUGGGGAGCAAACAGG
This 248-nucleotide ribosomal RNA is filed under the name uncultured bacterium. RNAcentral describes it as "partial 16S ribosomal RNA". It matches the Rfam family "Bacterial small subunit ribosomal RNA", at positions 529 to 776 of the family's 1533-position model. The record is from RNAcentral.